RNAcentral lists this transfer RNA (92 nucleotides) under Leifsonia sp. LS1. RNAcentral describes it as "tRNA-Ser". Lineage: Bacteria; Bacillati; Actinomycetota; Actinomycetes; Micrococcales; Microbacteriaceae. The record is from RNAcentral.
UCGCGACGCGGGGCCCGGUCGCCCCGGUCGUCGAACGACCGACGCGGUCGGUCGUCGUCGCGGCGCGGCCGGUCAUCGCGGCCGGCGCGACC